GUGAGAGUUCAAGUCCGGCAUGGUUCCAGCCAGGUUUGCAGGCAGGCUCAGUUCAUUCAAACAAACGGGACAGCAGGGAGUUAAUCCCCUCUUUAAUCAACCCAGCCUGACCAGCACGUGUGCCAAGACUGGCAGGAAGAAUGGCCACUUUGAUCACUGUUUGGAUUGUGGAAUGUGCUUCUCGUCUUCCUUUGCUGGGGCUCCUAAAGAAUCAUUUCAACAAAUUCUAAGCACUUCUUAUUAACUUAUUUAUUAGUUGAUGCAUUUCUCAGGCCAGGUGUUUUACAUUAGAUCACCACCAAGAACAACUAGAGUUCAAGGCCUGACAGGUACAAGGCUCUUCAAAAUGGCAAACAGAAAACUACCAUAAAUACUCCGCUCAAGGAGGAAGAAGCCACCCACGUUGCAGACGGCUGUGCCGUGGCCUCUGACUAAAAGCCAGAAAUUAAAGUGCAUGGUGUUGACUCUAGACUUGAUGAAAACAUUUUACAUUGAAUUGAUGGGAAUGUGAGCAACACUGGGCUGACGCCAGGUGAACACAAUUUGUUAUAAACCCUCAAACUGCUUAGUAUUCUUUCACUAGUUCCCUAUCCACUGCCAGCUUGGGAGAUGGCUUGUGGGUG
Molecule: non-coding RNA, 623 nt
Organism: Odocoileus virginianus texanus
Lineage: Eukaryota; Metazoa; Chordata; Mammalia; Artiodactyla; Cervidae
Source: RefSeq, a predicted model, not a curated record